CCCUACUCUUGAGAUGCUCACAUCCUGGGGAGGGGAAGAGACAGUGCUAUGGACUGAAUGUUUGUGUCCCCCUUCCCUCGCAUUCAUAAGCUGAAGCCCUGAUUCCCAACGUGAUGCUCUUUGGAGAUGGGGCCUUUGGGAUAUAAUUAGGUCAUGAGGGUGGAAAUCUUCGUGACGGGAUUAACACCCUCAUAAGAAGAAAUAUGAAACAGCUUGCUUCUCUUCUUUCUCUUAGCCAUGUGAGGACACAGCAAGAUCACAGGAAGAGGGUUCUCAUCAGACACUGAACCUGCGGGCACCUUGAUGGCGGACUUCCCAGCCUCCAGAACAAGUCUGGCUGUGAAGACCACCAGAUAAAUGGGCAGUUAUUGGAAGAAGGUAUGCUGUCUAGAAAGGUUAUUUUAUCUUUAAAGUUGGUAGACAUUUGGGACAUUUUGUCCUGGUAAGGAUGCUCCAUAGUGGCUCUCCAUAGCUAUUUGUUGAAUUAGAGUAGACAUAUUAAAAUAAAAUGAGGAAGUCACACACACACACACACACACACACACACACACCCCAGAACUUCUCAGGAUAAAACAGCAGCGGGAGAAAAGCUGAUUAAAGCCCAUUUGGUUUCUCUGUCUCAAAUCAGCUCUCCGCAAUGGACCCAAACAUGACUUUGGGUCCUUAAAGCUCUGAUACUGAGUUAGGGAGACACACUGGGUGAAGAAAGUAAUGUACCUGAGAUAGUGGAGAGUAACAAUAACCCUGAAGAAGAAGAUGAUGAUAGUGACGAGGGUGACAAUAGUAGCUCGCAUUCGUUGAGCACUCACUGAGUGCCAACUUGUAGUUCACGUGGCUGAUUUCACCUGCUCCUCCAAGUAAGGCUUGUAAGGUGGGUGCUACUCUCAGUCUCUCUCCGGGUGAGGAUAUUGAGGCUUAGAUUUGGAAAGCGACUUGCUCAAGACUACAUAGCUAAUAAUAACUGGUGGAGUGAGAGUUCAAGCCCCACGGUGUGUAAUUCUAGAUCCUUUUACUCCUGUUUUGUGGGGGAUAUGGCACUAGAGAGAACUGGCCAAAGAGGGCUUCCCUAGAAGUACUCAUUUUGCACAAGACUGAUAAAAGGAGACCCUACGAGGUGAGCAAGCUGAGCCCUGAGAAGCAGCUUUGGCAAAUUAACUUCCAUCUUCCCAGGCCAGCAACCUCUGAUUUAUUUAUUUAUUUGUUUUAUAGUAGAGGAACACAUACCACUUGGCGUUACUCUUCUUGACAGUGGGAGAUUACAUGCUGGACUUGACUGAGUUUCUGUCAGGGAGAAUUUAUUGCAAUUUCGAAGAUGGUUCUUAAAAGAGAUGGCUGUUUUGCAUUUUUUAUACAGGUCCUGCAAAUAUGUCAGGUUUGAUCUUCUACAAAAUCACCUUGUAUAAACUUCCUGCUUCUCUUCCUCCUCUCCUGACUCGCACCUUCCAUAGCCUGUGUGUGCAGCGGCUGUUAGCAAGCUUCCCCCCAGGCAGCCCAGCUUUCAGCGGCCUUGACCCACAUUUUGUAGAGCUCCUGCUUUAUCUCUGCAAAGUCAAAUCCCUACUGUCCUUAAAGCAUAACCUGGAAUCCUCCCUCUCCACAAAUCCUUGUCAAGUGCCUGGCUGGGGAUCCCCAAAUAGCUCUGAAGCCACAGUGACCUAUUCAUCAGUCACCCUAGGGAAAUGAAAGCCAAGAUGCACCGAUCGUGACACUACAACAGUAAAAAUGACAAGAGGUCCUGUUGGUUGAGAAGUUACUGGUUAUUAUGAGCCGGCAAAUGGGCUAAGUGUUUUGCGUAUGUUGUCUGUGAUUUCAGAUUAAUACCUCAUUUACCUUCAUGCCCAAAUUAUGACAGUUUGAGUCCCACCGAUACGAUCCCUAGGAGGCAGCUUUCCUCAAAAUGUCGCUGGCUGUAUCUGAGAGGCACAGGGUGGCUUGCACUCUCAGGGGCGUGAACCCUGGGUUCUUGGGCUCCGGGUUUCCUAUUGUGCCGCCAUGCUGCCACCUUUGCUUCUAAUGGGGGAUGGGCUGGCCUGUCUUCUGGAAAUGGUGGUUGUUAGUUGUUAUUACUCUUUCCACCACUGUGACCUCAGAGGAGCUUGGCAUUGUUCUUCCUUCUGCUACUCCCUCAGAAGCACAGGACAAACAACUGGGAUUGGCUGUGGAACAGGAUUGCACUGACGUUUCAGAGACGGUGGAAGGGCUGUGCUUGGGGUGGUGGUGUUAGAACUCAGAACUCUUCUCAACUGGCUCAUUCUUUCCCUCGGGUGUCUCCUCAGGCCACCUCCCUUCCUUUCUGGUGGCCUGACCUCCACAUACCUGCCCCUUCAGCUAAAUUCCCACUACCACAAAUACUCCAGUACAUUUGCACUUCAGGCUACAGGCCGAACCAAUCUUCACCUAGUCUGAGAUUCAUGCCUGGUCCUGUUUCUUCCUCCAGCAUCAGCAUUUUCUCAGUAUUACCGACAGCGAGGACCUCGGUGCAUAGUCUGGUCCAAUGGCCCCAAAGAGAUAAUCCUAUGAGAGUCUAACAUCAGCAUGUUGCUGAAAGACAUAGAAAAUAAUGUCAGAGCUGGUGAUGGAACUCUCCCUUUCCUCUGCCUUCAUGCUUCCAUGUGGAGGGAGCUCCAUUAGAGUAUCACUCCUAUUCUCUCACCCCAUUCCCUCUCCAAGGAUGGAGCAGUGACUUAUCUGAUUGGUGUGCUUGGGGGAGGAGCUCAGCCUGCCUCUCUCUGUCUUUGUAUGUCACUGCAUACUUGCAGAAAUGAAUAUUCAGGAACAAGUCUUCAUGGGAGAACCCUGAAGUUGGUCAGUCCAGCCAUGGUCUGUGAGGUGAUGUUUGUCUAACUCAAGGGUACUAACAAUAAAGAUAAUGUUUUAGUUUCUACUUA
Molecule: long non-coding RNA, 2888 nt
Organism: Herpailurus yagouaroundi (jaguarundi)
Lineage: Eukaryota; Metazoa; Chordata; Mammalia; Carnivora; Felidae
Exons: 2
Source: RefSeq, a predicted model, not a curated record